This 862-nucleotide ribosomal RNA is filed under the name Ralstonia sp. Its description in RNAcentral is "bacterial SSU rRNA". The record is from RNAcentral. Lineage: Bacteria; Pseudomonadati; Pseudomonadota; Betaproteobacteria; Burkholderiales; Burkholderiaceae.
UCUCCUGCCGGCGAGUGGCGAACGGGUGAGUAAUACAUCGGAACGUGCCCUGUAGUGGGGGAUAACUAGUCGAAAGAUUAGCUAAUACCGCAUACGACCUGAGGGUGAAAGUGGGGGACCGCAAGGCCUCAUGCUAUAGGAGCGGCCGAUGUCUGAUUAGCUAGUUGGUGGGGUAAAGGCCCACCAAGGCGACGAUCAGUAGCUGGUCUGAGAGGACGAUCAGCCACACUGGGACUGAGACACGGCCCAGACUCCUACGGGAGGCAGCAGUGGGGAAUUUUGGACAAUGGGCGAAAGCCUGAUCCAGCAAUGCCGCGUGUGUGAAGAAGGCCUUCGGGUUGUAAAGCACUUUUGUCCGGAAAGAAAUGGCUCUGGUUAAUACCUGGGGUCGAUGACGGUACCGGAAGAAUAAGGACCGGCUAACUACGUGCCAGCAGCCGCGGUAAUACGUAGGGUCCAAGCGUUAAUCGGAAUUACUGGGCGUAAAGCGUGCGCAGGCGGUUGUGCAAGACCGAUGUGAAAUCCCCGAGCUUAACUUGGGAAUUGCAUUGGUGACUGCACGGCUAGAGUGUGUCAGAGGGGGGUAGAAUUCCACGUGUAGCAGUGAAAUGCGUAGAGAUGUGGAGGAAUACCGAUGGCGAAGGCAGCCCCCUGGGAUAACACUGACGCUCAUGCACGAAAGCGUGGGGAGCAAACAGGAUUAGAUACCCUGGUAGUCCACGCCCUAAACGAUGUCAACUAGKUGUUGGGGGAUUUCAUUUCCUUAGUAACGUAGCUAACGCGUGAAGUUGACCCGGCUGGGGGAGUACGGUCGCAAGAUUAAAACUCCAAAGGAAUUGGACGGGGGACACCCGUCAACAGC